Molecule: ribosomal RNA, 250 nt
Filed under: uncultured bacterium
Lineage: Bacteria
Description: partial 16S ribosomal RNA
Rfam family: Bacterial small subunit ribosomal RNA
Source: RNAcentral
UACAGAGGGUGCGAGCGUUAAUCGGAAUUACUGGGCGUAAAGCGUGCGUAGACGGUAGCGUAAGUCAGAUGUGAAAGCCCCGGGCUCAACCUGGGAACUGCAUUUGAGACUGCUCUGCUCGGGUGCGGAAGAGGGAAGCGGAAUUUCCGGUGUAGCGGUGAAAUGCGUAGAUAUCAGGAGGAACACCAUGCGAAGGCAGCUCGCUGGGACGGUACUGACGCUGAGACGCGAAAGCGUGGGGAGCAAACAG